RNAcentral lists this long non-coding RNA (606 nucleotides) under Rattus norvegicus (Norway rat). RNAcentral's name for it is "long non-coding RNA NONRATT002887". The record is from RNAcentral. Lineage: Eukaryota; Metazoa; Chordata; Mammalia; Rodentia; Muridae.
UGUUUGACAGUGAUGGCAGACAUUGUAUUGGGUGGGGAGAGUUGGGGACAAGCAAAGGGAAGUCUUGGAGGCAGGGAUGACUGGGUCUGUUGCUGCUCUAGGACCCCAGCAGCUGCAGACAUCUGCUUCACCAAGGAGCUGCAUUCCCAUUUCUUCAGCUUGGGCAAAUGUGUGCCUGUAUGUCGAGGAGAUGGUGUCUAUCAGAAAGGGAUGGACUUCAUUUUGGAGAAGCUUAACCAUGGGGACUGGGUACACAUCUUUCCAGAAGGAAAAGUAAACAUGAGUUCUGAGUUCCUGCGCUUCAAAUGGGGUAAGUAUUGCUGGCCAGCCUGACACAGCCAGUUUCCCCAUCCAAAGAUGGCUCCUUGGGUCCCAGGCUUCAUUCCUCUCUCAGGUGGGUGUGUCAGGAGCAGUAGAAAAGGUACAGGUGGUGAGUCAAGGACUAAGUCUUUAAUUGGAAGACUGUAGAAGUAACAUUGGCCAGAGUUUGGCAGGGAAGUUUGGCCCAGCUUGUGCCAAGGCUUUUGCUUUUGUCCGAAGUAGGAAUUGGACGGCUGAUUGCUGAGUGUCAUCUAAACCCCAUCAUCCUGCCACUAUGGCAUGUUG